This 493-nucleotide long non-coding RNA is filed under the name Cricetulus griseus (Chinese hamster). RNAcentral describes it as "lncRNA (ENSCGRG00000025478.1)". Lineage: Eukaryota; Metazoa; Chordata; Mammalia; Rodentia; Cricetidae. The record is from RNAcentral.
AAAGGUAAAUCUUAUUAGUGUCCCAGCACGCUAACCCUACUGCCCAACUGCUACUGUUGCAUGCUUUCCUGCCUGGCUUGUGCUUCCCAGCACUGAGGCCUGCACCUGCAUCCCAUGGCUUUUCCUCUUCAGUGUUUUUCUUUGGUUGGUUUGGGCUUUUGUUUUUGUUAUUGUUGUUACUGUAGUUUAGUUUAGUUUUCUUUCUUUGUGUUUGUAAAGUUCCCUUUUUAUUGACAGAUCCUAUUCCGGACAGCUUUGCUGUCCUGCCCACAGCACCCUAGGAAGCACCCAGAAGGAAGUAACACUUACGAAUGGCAGCCAUCACACAGAACUGUUUGUCAGAAGGACACUCCGUUGGGACUUCUUUACAAGAAGGAAGAGUGACUGGAGAGACUGACCAGGGCGCCCAGGAGAAUGAGUUACCCAAGCUUGCCCUAGAGGGAGCUGAAAACCCAAAGCACAUCCACAACACACUCCACACCCAAACCUCCAC